GGGGGUAUAGCUCAGUGGUUGAGUGCAUGCUUAGCAUGCGUUAGGUCCUGGGUUCAACUCCCAGUACUGCCA
This 72-nucleotide transfer RNA is filed under the name Camelus ferus (Wild Bactrian camel). It matches the Rfam family "tRNA". Rfam says of the family: Transfer RNA (tRNA) molecules are approximately 80 nucleotides in length. Their secondary structure includes four short double-helical elements and three loops (D, anti-codon, and T loops). Lineage: Eukaryota; Metazoa; Chordata; Mammalia; Artiodactyla; Camelidae. The record is from Rfam by way of RNAcentral.